RNAcentral lists this long non-coding RNA (355 nucleotides) under Pan paniscus (pygmy chimpanzee). RNAcentral's name for it is "lncRNA (ENSPPAG00000045614.1)". Lineage: Eukaryota; Metazoa; Chordata; Mammalia; Primates; Hominidae. The record is from RNAcentral.
UAGCUGGCUGAGAAUUAGCUGUAGAGCAGGCUGUGUGACCGAGCCGUCUGUGUGCAGCCAUGUUCAGAAGCCCAGGGUUUUCCAGCUAUUUGGGAGCUUUCAAAUUCUCUGAGAAACAAGGCUUCUGCCUGUAACUAUUGAACAGCCAAAGGCACUUCCUUAGGGGAAGGAGUUUCUAUUUCAACAAUAAAAACUUAAGCUUCAUUGGAUUCCCACAUCAAAGGAAAGUUUCAAGAUAAAGUGGCCUUGUCUCAAGGACUGUUAAAUUUUGAAGAUUUGUCAUAGCUUUUAAAAUUAUUCUCUUGAAUAUCUAACUCUGAAGUUUCAAUGUUUAGCAAUAUGUUUUCUCCCUAGA